Long non-coding RNA from Armigeres subalbatus, 294 nucleotides. RefSeq lists it as uncharacterized. The transcript has 3 exons. The record is from RefSeq and is a predicted model, not a curated record. Lineage: Eukaryota; Metazoa; Arthropoda; Insecta; Diptera; Culicidae.
UUAAAAGUCGAGGUAGUGAAAAUUGUAUAAAAAGCAUGUGUGAUUUUUGAGUAAUUCUUGUUUCUAAUUCUUUUAGUUAUAGUUAUUCCUUAAAAGCUAAUUGUUAAAAAGCUUAAAAUAAAGUGUUAGUAGUGCAGUUAGUAAAUUAUUAAAGGGUGCUGUGUGGCUAAUAAAAGCGGUUCGCAUUCCAAGGGAAUUGCGUGCAAUUGAACCUAGUGGAAAAAGGCCUAACGAGGCCUUUUUCCAUUUGUUUAGGCCAGUCGUCUGGAUUUCCGGGAGAAACUGGUCCCAAAC